AGUCAAACGAUCAGAUGUUUA
This 21-nucleotide non-coding RNA is filed under the name Arabidopsis thaliana (thale cress). Lineage: Eukaryota; Viridiplantae; Streptophyta; Magnoliopsida; Brassicales; Brassicaceae. The record is from RNAcentral.